GACGAACGCUGGCGGCGUGCCUAACACAUGCAAGUCAACUUGACUGAAGGAGCAAUCUGACAGUAGAGUGGCGCAAGGGUGCGUAACGCGUAAGUAACUUGCCCCAAGGUAAGGAAUAACGUCGAGAAAUCGGCGCUAAUACCUCAUAAUGCAGCGGAUCCGCAUGGAUAUGUUGUUAAAGGUUUACCGCCUUGGGAUAGGCUUGCGUCUGAUUAGCUAGUUGGUGUGGUAACGGCACACCAAGGCUACGAUCAGUAACUGGUCUGAGAGGAUGAUCAGUCACACUGGAACUGAGACACGGUCCAGACUCCUACGGGAGACAGCAGUGAGGAAUAUUGGGCAAUGCUCGAAAGAGUGACCCAGCAACGCCGCGUGGAGGAUGAAGGUAUUCUAUAUCGUAAACUCCUGUGAGAGCAGACGAAAGACAGAUUAUAAUCUGGAUGACUGUAUGCUCAGAGGAAGCCCCGGC
RNAcentral lists this ribosomal RNA (469 nucleotides) under uncultured bacterium. Its description in RNAcentral is "bacterial SSU rRNA". It matches the Rfam family "Bacterial small subunit ribosomal RNA", at positions 28 to 497 of the family's 1533-position model. The record is from RNAcentral.